RNAcentral lists this long non-coding RNA (396 nucleotides) under Rattus norvegicus (Norway rat). Its description in RNAcentral is "long non-coding RNA NONRATT005619". The record is from RNAcentral. Lineage: Eukaryota; Metazoa; Chordata; Mammalia; Rodentia; Muridae.
GCGCUCUACUUGUCUUCCUGCCCGCCUGGUAUUCCCUCCAGGAAUGGAGAAGCUACAGGCCCAGCUGAACAAGGAGCUCCAGGUAUGGACAUCAAAGCACCAGGAAGACAAGCAGGGAAGAGGAGACGGGUGCCAGGGUACUGUGCUCAGAUUCACUGUGGACGCUACUUCCUGCUGCUUGUCAGGAGAGCAUUCUGCAGGGCACAUCCUAGACUAACGUGGAGAAAUGUAGUACCGUGGCUUUCCCACGCCAGGAGAAGAGUAUAUGGUUGAAGAGAGGAGUCUUAGAGGGGUGGCCAAUAGAGAUGUGAUGUCAUCCUGGAGGCCAUGGGUCCAGACUAGUAUGAGGGAAUCCAAGGCAGGGCUGGGGUUAAUUAGGAACCAAUGUGGGACAAU